This 1576-nucleotide long non-coding RNA is filed under the name Homo sapiens (human). RNAcentral describes it as "HSALNT0307430". Lineage: Eukaryota; Metazoa; Chordata; Mammalia; Primates; Hominidae. The record is from RNAcentral.
AACCUGUGGAAGGCUAGGCAGGGAGUCAGGAAAGGCUGGAGUCACCAUGGACUGCAACCUGGAACAAGGAGAGACAAAGGGAAGGAGGAGUCUGGAGCCAUAUUGAAGAUGAAAUUGAGAUAUGGACUAGGUGGUGGAUCGUUUUUAUAAGAGGACAUAAAAGAGGAUGCUAAAGCUAAUUGCCACAAUCAGAACUCAAAGACCUAGCAAAUGCAAGGUGGUAUUUAUUCUAAACUCAGCAAAGUAGUAGAAAAAUAGUUUUGAGAACAGUUUUAAGGAGACUAGGGUAACAGUGAGAAAAUAGUUCAUGGCUAGUCUGGACUUAGGACUUUAGGGUCGGCCUGGUGAAUUGAAGGGAAGCAGCUGAUACACUCUGGUUGCCUUGUACCCUGGCUUUUGGUGCUUUCCCAUGUGCUGUAGUCAUCAGUAAUCUGGAGGAAAUGCUAUAGAGGCAAAGACACCAUUAGAUGGGUGCUCAACUAGCAAACAGGAUGUGACCACAGAGUAGUUACCCCAAGACCAGGUCAGCAUGACCCAAAAGGCAGAAGAGGACAAGGUUUAUGAGUGUUGGGCUGAGCUCACGCCUGCUUGAACAUCUCAAGAACAAUGUUAAUGAUGGAAGAGAGAGAUAGGAGAGGAAACUCAUUAAACUUGCCAAAUAUGAGAUGUAGCUGGGUUGGCUCUAUGUAAGCAUGGCAGAAAAGCAUUUAGAAGUCAUAAUACAUUUAAAAUAAGAGCUACCAGCAUAGCAGUGACAUGAAGAAGGCAUGUGUUUUGUUAAAAAGUUUUAAAUACUCCUAUAAAAGAUAGUAAGGUACAAGUUGUUUGCUUGAUCAGCAAUGCUAAUUGCCUUUGAAGUGCAUGCCUGGGGAUUCCAUGGAGAGAGGACCCUGUUUCUCCACCCCAACCCAAAUUCACUGAGUUUAUGUCAGAAUGUUCAGAAGCCCCUUUACAAAUUCCUCUGAUUGCCUUGUUAGACACUGGCCACCUCCCUGAACCUGGGCCAAGAUGAGGGUCUACACCUUGGCUUAGUUCUACUAUGAAAGACUUUCCUGCAGUAAAAGUUACCUGUCUGAAACAUUCAGAAGAGUGAAAAUGCCACAUCUCCAAUUUCCAGCAAUAUAUUUGUCUGCCAUGAUUUGGCCUGGAAGCUUAAGCAGGAAGACCACUUGGAGCCAGACUUCAGAGUGAUCUGUCUCUAAGGAAUAACUUUCAUAUUGCAGCGUUCGGUUUUGCAAUUCUUCCUAAGCUACUCUAAAUUCGCAGCAUAAAUCUGCAGAAAGACUUCACCCUCCACAUCAAACCCUUAUAAGGAUCCAUUUCUGCUCUCAUUUUAGAAUAUCUUUUCUAAUAGCUAAAGGCAGACAGAGGCAAACCAAGAAAUCCAGACUUUGCAUCAACGGGUUAAAUCAUAUGUCAAAGGUGCAACCAUAACGUAUUACAAGCUUCUCAUCACAUAAUACAUCACUCAAGAAAAAAUAUUUGGGCAGCUUUUCUAAUUCAUCUUCCUGGUGUUAAAGGAGCACAUCUCCAGUGUUCGUGUCUUCUGUUUCAAUUAAAGCAAUCAUGCCUACUC